RNAcentral lists this ribosomal RNA (486 nucleotides) under uncultured bacterium. RNAcentral describes it as "partial 16S ribosomal RNA". It matches the Rfam family "Bacterial small subunit ribosomal RNA", at positions 30 to 507 of the family's 1533-position model. The record is from RNAcentral.
AUUGAACGCUGGCGGCAUGCCUUACACAUGCAAGUCGAGCGGCAGCACGGGUGCUUGCACCUCGUGGCGAGUAGCGAACGGGUGAGUAAUACAUCGGAACAUGUCCUGUAGUGGGGGAUAGCCCGGCGAAAGCCGGAUUAAUACCGCAUACGAUCUACGGAUGAAAGCGGGGGCCCUUCGGGCCUCGCGCUAUCGGGUUGGCCGAUGGCUGAUUAGCUAGUUGGUGGGGUAAAGGCCUACCAAGGCGACGAUCAGUAGCUGGUCUGAGAGGACGACCAGCCACACUGGGACUGAGACACGGCCCAGACUCCUACGGGAGGCAGCAGUGGGGAAUUUUGGACAAUGGGCGAAAGCCUGAUCCAGCAAUGCCGCGUGUGUGAAGAAGGCCUUCGGGUUGUAAAGCACUUUUGUCCGGAAAGAAAUCCUUGGCUCUAAUACAGUCGGGGGAUGACGGUACCGGAAGAAUAAGCACCGGCUAACUACGUG